Molecule: ribosomal RNA, 456 nt
Filed under: uncultured bacterium
Lineage: Bacteria
Description: bacterial SSU rRNA
Rfam family: Bacterial small subunit ribosomal RNA
Source: RNAcentral
GCACAAGCGGUGGAGCAUGUGGUUUAAUUCGAAGCAACGCGAAGAACCUUACCAGGUCUUGACAUCCCGCUGACCGGCCUAGAGAUAGGCUUUUCCCUUCGGGGACAGCGGUGACAGGUGGUGCAUGGUUGUCGUCAGCUCGUGUCGUGAGAUGUUGGGUUAAGUCCCGCAACGAGCGCAACCCUUGAUCUUAGUUGCCAGCAUUCAGUUGGGCACUCUAAGGUGACUGCCGGUGAUAAGCCGGAGGAAGGUGGGGAUGACGUCAAAUCAUCAUGCCCCUUAUGACCUGGGCUACACACGUGCUACAAUGGACGGUACAGAGGGUCGCAACUCCGCGAGGGUGAGCAAAUCCCAUAAAACCGUUCUCAGUUCGGAUUGUAGGCUGCAACUCGCCUACAUGAAGCCGGAAUCGCUAGUAAUCGUGGAUCAGCAUGCCACGGUGAAUACGUUCCCGGG